This 495-nucleotide ribosomal RNA is filed under the name uncultured bacterium. RNAcentral's name for it is "partial 16S ribosomal RNA". It matches the Rfam family "Bacterial small subunit ribosomal RNA", at positions 28 to 507 of the family's 1533-position model. The record is from RNAcentral.
GAUGAACGCUGGCGGCGUGCCUAAUACAUGCAAGUAGAACGCUGAAGGAGGAGCUUGCUCUUCUGGAUGAGUUGCGAACGGGUGAGUAACGCGUAGGUAACCUGCCUGGUAGCGGGGGAUAACUAUUGGAAACAAUAGCUAAUACCGCAUGACAACAGUUAUUGCAUGAUAACUGUUUAAAAGGGGCAACUGCUCCACUACCAGAUGGACCUGCGUUGUAUUAGCUAGUUGGUGAGGUAACGGCUCACCAAGGCGACGAUACAUAGCCGACCUGAGAGGGUGAUCGGCCACACUGGGACUGAGACACGGCCCAGACUCCUACGGGAGGCAGCAGUAGGGAAUCUUCGGCAAUGGACGGAAGUCUGACCGAGCAACGCCGCGUGAGUGAAGAAGGUUUUCGGAUCGUAAAGCUCUGUUGUAAGAGAAGAACGAGUGUGAGAGUGGAAAGUUCACACUGUGACGGUAUCUUACCAGAAAGGGACGGCUAACUACGUG